UUAUGGUGUCAUGGUCAUUGAUGACCGUUCAUAUAAUCUUUGCAAUUGCUUUGCAGCUUAUGCGGAGAUUAUACGACGAUCAACAGAAACCUUUGUCAUCAAAUA
This 105-nucleotide microRNA precursor is filed under the name Medicago truncatula (barrel medic). RNAcentral describes it as "miRNA gene38470". It matches the Rfam family "MIR2587 microRNA precursor family". Lineage: Eukaryota; Viridiplantae; Streptophyta; Magnoliopsida; Fabales; Fabaceae. The record is from RNAcentral.